RNAcentral lists this ribosomal RNA (250 nucleotides) under uncultured bacterium. Its description in RNAcentral is "partial 16S ribosomal RNA". It matches the Rfam family "Bacterial small subunit ribosomal RNA", at positions 524 to 773 of the family's 1533-position model. The record is from RNAcentral.
UACAGAGGGUGCGAGCGUUAAUCGGAAUGACUGGGCGUAAAGGGUGCGUAGGUGGUUUGAUAAGUUAGGUGUGAAAGUCCUGGGCUUAACCUGGGGAUUGCGCUUAAGACUGCCAAGCUAGAGUACUGUAGAGGAAGGUGGAAUUUCCGGUGUAGCAGUGAAAUGCGUAGAUAUCGGAAGGAACAUCAGUGGCGAAGGCGACUUUCUGGACAGAUACUGACACUGAGGCACGAAAGCGUGGGGAGCAAAC